This 253-nucleotide ribosomal RNA is filed under the name uncultured bacterium. Its description in RNAcentral is "partial 16S ribosomal RNA". It matches the Rfam family "Bacterial small subunit ribosomal RNA", at positions 524 to 776 of the family's 1533-position model. The record is from RNAcentral.
UACGUAGGGUGCAAGCGUUAAUCGGAAUUACUGGGCGUAAAGCGUGCGCAGGCGGUUGUGUAAGACAGAUGUGAAAUCCCCGGGCUCAACCUGGGAACUGCAUUUGUGACUGCACAGCUGGAGUGCGGCAGAGGGGGAUGGAAUUCCGCGUGUAGCAGUGAAAUGCGUAGAGAUGUGGAGGAAUACCGAUGGCGAAGGCAAUCCCCUGGGCCUGCACUGACGCUCAUGCACGAAAGCGUGGGGAGCAAACAGG